This is a non-coding RNA of Pelobates cultripes (western spadefoot toad), 222 nucleotides long. Lineage: Eukaryota; Metazoa; Chordata; Amphibia; Anura; Pelobatidae. The record is from the annotation of a GenBank genome assembly.
GCUGACUGUAAGUGAGGGGAUGCUAUAUUCCUUGAAGGUGUGUUUAUGAUACCUAUAUGGGAGCCCUUUGAAGCUCCAGAGCUUUAGUAAAUCUAUUACAAGUCUGGAAGGGUGAUGAGUCAGUAGUGUUGAAAAUGCAUUGGUGUGUACAGAUGGUGAGUACGUUAUUUGUAAGUUGUAUUGGGCCACAUGGUUUGUCAUGUGCCCUGAACCAUUGAACAU